This is a long non-coding RNA of Cygnus olor (mute swan), 1960 nucleotides long. RefSeq lists it as uncharacterized. The record is from RefSeq and is a predicted model, not a curated record. Lineage: Eukaryota; Metazoa; Chordata; Aves; Anseriformes; Anatidae. The transcript is spliced from 5 exons.
GGAGCACGGGUGCUCUGCUUGUGGAUGGAUGUGGAUGGACGGAGGUGGAAGGGCUCGGAGGCAGGGCUGCAUUUGCUGCAGAGGGGGCAUCACGGAUCUUCUCUGGAGGAUAAACUAUGUGAUUAAACAGUCAUCAAAGUGGGAACCAAGGACUCAGAUUUAUGAAAACAAAGACCAGAAAUGCCUCAGAAAUGAAGUCUCUGGAGAUGUAGAAAUUUACUCAUGGAGGUGCCUUGCAGGCUCUCACUAUGUAUGGACAUGGACCAGGAUGCAUCAGGCAGAGAAACCUCCUUUCUGUUGAGAAAACAUAGAAGACCUGCAAGGUUUGCAGAAGUAGCACAAAGGGAACUGUGAAUACUCUAGCCAGGUGAUGCUUUGCAACAGUAAUUGAAGCUGUGCUGAGGCCAGGGUUUGCAGGAAAGACUGCUGCAGAGGGCUGUCCCCACUGCUGUGGGGCAGCUGAAUGAGGCAAGACUGCCAAAAACUGGGUAAUGGGUAGCCAGAAGAAGGAGCUGCAUAACAGGAAUGCUGGUAUGUGACUGUCACAGGCCGUCAAGGUCCUGAGGGAAGAAGUACAUGUGGAGAUGUGAGAUUCCUAGAUCACUGUAUAGCUUGGGUAUUAACAGGAACAGGACUCACAGAAGUGGCCACAGGCCAGUGCAGAAUGGUAUCCUCCUGUGGUGGAGGAACUGUUGGCUACAUAGAAACAACAAGAGGGAACCUACCAGAGAACUUCUUGGAGACUGGCCCAGAAAAUUAAAGGGAACUAGAUUAUCCUUAAAGGUCAUUGUCUGCACAUUCACCAUAGCUGCCAAAUAAUGAGUUAGAUCCCAGGGCUAGCCUGCGAACAGCCUAUUUUGCUCACAGAACGAAUGAAGGCUCUGAGCCUGGCUUUCUCAUGGCUAUGUAAGACUCACAUAUCUGCCUGUUGUCUGUUCUAGACAACAAACGGGCUUCACACAUGGUUUCUAUGCAACGGCAGCAACAUCAGUCCAACAAAACUUCAUACUUAUACUUUGCUCUGUGCAAGAAAGACCCUGAGGCUUGCCAUGCAGAGAAGAAGGAUUUUCCCUCCCUUUUUCUUUCUGUGACAACUGGUUGAUGAUAAGAUCCUUGCUUGGAAAGAUGUGAAGCUCCUAUUUGGUAGCCACAUUGCUGGGCAUCUCCUGACUUUUCUUUUGGAGGGUGACUCUUCACUAGAGCUGGUGCUGGCUUGGCCCAGAAACACUUCUCAGUCUGCUCGUGCUCCUUUCUGUUCCUCCUCUUUGAGGAUGAUGGGUUUGCACAACUCUUUCUCUCUCCCCAGAGGCUGGGGACUCCCAGCACCUCUCUUCCAGCCAAGUAGAAUCACGAGGUUUCUAAGCAUGCUACUCCUGAUGGGAUGCCACAGCCUGGCUGUUCACAAGCUUGAACAAGCAGAGAGAAACAUACUUCCAAAAUGAAGAGACGUGAAACGGCAUUCUCGGUUUCGGUCAGCUCAGCCUUGCCCACUGACACUCACAACCACAGCUGGAACAGCUCUGCUGUGGAGUAAGAGCAAAGCUGUGCCCUUUUUGGCUUUGUGUCACUAGCUAGAUUGUGUGGGGGAGCUUAUGCCAUUGAAGAAGGCAGCGGUGUUUAGCCAAACAAGCCUUGAGUGUUAGUGGCCCACAGCCACUUUAUGUGUAAAAUGAAGUGUCUUUUGGCAAGACUUCUUAGUGCAGGGGCGGCUGCAGAGGAAGCAAACGGUGAGGUAAGAGGGAUGGGAGAGAAAAAGAAAAACAGGGCAGGAGAGAAACAAGCAAACAAAAACCCUAGGUGAUCAUCCAGGUUACACACAGAGGGGGCUGGAGAGAGAGGUGGUCCAGGAAGUAGUCUCACCAGGUCUGACUGGUGUCUUAGCUACAGUGUGAACCCACAGCUCAAUCCUGUCUUCCCUAAGAGAAAAAGAUGAGCUCCACCUCCAUACCUGCAUUUUUCU